CGAUCCAGCCAUGCCGCGUGAGUGAAGAAGGCCUUCGGGUUGUAAAGCUCUUUCGGCGGGGACGGAAAUGGUUCGUGCUAAUACCACGAACUGAUGACGGUACCCGCAGAAGAAGCACCGGCUAACUACGUGCCAGCAGCCGCGGUAAUACGUAGGGUGCAGGCGUUAAUCGGAAUUACUGGGCGUAAAGCGUGCGCAGGCGGUUUGUUAAGACAGAUGUGAAAUCCCCGGGCUUAACCUGGGAACUGCGUUUGUAACUGGCAGACUGGAGUGUGGCAGAGGGGGGUGGAAUUCCAAGUGUAGCAGUGAAAUGCGUAGAUAUUUGGAGGAACACCGAUGGCGAAGGCAGCCCCCUGGGCUAACACUGACGCUCAUGCACGAAAGCGUGGGGAGCAAACAGGAUUAGAUACCCUGGUAGUCCACGCCCUAAACUAUGUCAACUGGUUGUCGGGGAAGCAAUUCCUUGGUAACGAAGCUAACGCGUGAAGUUGACCGCCUGGGGAGUACGGCCGCAAGGUUA
Molecule: ribosomal RNA, 520 nt
Filed under: uncultured Pseudomonadota bacterium
Lineage: Bacteria; Pseudomonadati; Pseudomonadota
Description: bacterial SSU rRNA
Rfam family: Bacterial small subunit ribosomal RNA
Source: RNAcentral